UACGUAGGGUCCGAGCGUUGUCCGGAAUUAUUGGGCGUAAAGGGCUCGUAGGCGGUUUGUCACGUCGGGAGUGAAAACUCAGGGCUCAACCCUGAGCGUGCUUCCGAUACGGGCAGACUAGAGGUAUGCAGGGGAGAACGGAAUUCCUGGUGUAGCGGUGGAAUGCGCAGAUAUCAGGAGGAACACCGGUGGCGAAGGCGGUUCUCUGGGCAUUACCUGACGCUGAGGAGCGAAAGCAUGGGGAGCAAACGGG
This 253-nucleotide ribosomal RNA is filed under the name uncultured bacterium. Its description in RNAcentral is "partial 16S ribosomal RNA". It matches the Rfam family "Bacterial small subunit ribosomal RNA", at positions 524 to 776 of the family's 1533-position model. The record is from RNAcentral.